This 326-nucleotide small nuclear RNA is filed under the name Heterocephalus glaber (naked mole-rat). RNAcentral describes it as "7SK RNA". It matches the Rfam family "7SK RNA". Rfam says of the family: 7SK was discovered as an abundant small nuclear RNA in the mid-70s but a possible function has only recently been suggested. Two independent studies have found that 7SK RNA binds the CDK9/cyclin T complex (known as elongation factor P-TEFb). Lineage: Eukaryota; Metazoa; Chordata; Mammalia; Rodentia; Bathyergidae. The record is from Rfam by way of RNAcentral.
GGAUGUUAGGGUGAUCUGGCUGUGACAUCUGUCACCCUGUUGAUUGCCGGGGUUGAUUCAGCUAAUCUGGCUGGCUAGGCAGGUGUCCCCUUUCUCCUUCACCCCUCCAUGUGUGUUCUUCCUGAAGGUGUGCACUGGGUUGAAGAGGACGACCACCCCCAAUAGAGGAGGACCAUUUCCUCAGCCAAGGGCAUACAAAUAGCUGUGCUGACCUGCUAGAACCUCCAAACAAGCUCUCAAGAUAAAUAAAUACAACAUCACAUGUACAGGAUUUGUAUGCUAAGACUUUAAAAUGUUACUGAAAUAAAUUAAAGAUCAAAACAAAU